AAAUUGAAGAGUUUGAUCAUGGCUCAGAUUGAACGCUGGCGGCAGGCCUAACACAUGCAAGUCGAGCGGUAGCACAGAGAGCUUGCUCUCGGGUGACGAGCGGCGGACGGGUGAGUAAUGUCUGGGAAACUGCCUGAUGGAGGGGGAUAACUACUGGAAACGGUAGCUAAUACCGCAUAAUGUCGCAAGACCAAAGUGGGGGACCUUCGGGCCUCAUGCCAUCAGAUGUGCCCAGAUGGGAUUAGCUAGUAGGUGGGGUAAUGGCUCACCUAGGCGACGAUCCCUAGCUGGUCUGAGAGGAUGACCAGCCACACUGGAACUGAGACACGGUCCAGACUCCUACGGGAGGCAGCAGUGGGGAAUAUUGCACAAUGGGCGCAAGCCUGAUGCAGCCAUGCCGCGUGUGUGAAGAAGGCCUUCGGGUUGUAAAGCACUUUCAGCGGGGAGGAAGGCGUUAAGGUUAAUAACCUUGGCGAUUGACGUUACCCGCAGAAGAAGCACCGGCUAACUCCGUGCCAGCAGCCGCGGUAAUACGGAGGGUGCAAGCGUUAAUCGGAAUUACUGGGCGUAAAGCGCACGCAGGCGGUCUGUCAAGUCGGAUGUGAAAUCCCCGGGCUCAACCUGGGAACUGCAUUCGAAACUGGCAGGCUAGAGUCUUGUAGAGGGGGGUAGAAUUCCAGGUGUAGCGGUGAAAUGCGUAGAGAUCUGGAGGAAUACCGGUGGCGAAGGCGGCCCCCUGGACAAAGACUGACGCUCAGGUGCGAAAGCGUGGGGAGCAAACAGGAUUAGAUACCCUGGUAGUCCACGCCGUAAACGAUGUCGAUUUGGAGGUUGUGCCCUUGAGGCGUGGCUUCCGGAGCUAACGCGUUAAAUCGACCGCCUGGGGAGUACGGCCGCAAGGUUAAAACUCAAAUGAAUUGACGGGGGCCCGCACAAGCGGUGGAGCAUGUGGUUUAAUUCGAUGCAACGCGAAGAACCUUACCUGGUCUUGACAUCCACAGAACUUUCCAGAGAUGGAUUGGUGCCUUCGGGAACUGUGAGACAGGUGCUGCAUGGCUGUCGUCAGCUCGUGUUGUGAAAUGUUGGGUUAAGUCCCGCAACGAGCGCAACCCUUAUCCUUUGUUGCCAGCGGUCCGGCCGGGAACUCAAAGGAGACUGCCAGUGAUAAACUGGAGGAAGGUGGGGAUGACGUCAAGUCAUCAUGGCCCUUACGACCAGGGCUACACACGUGCUACAAUGGCAUAUACAAAGAGAAGCGACCUCGCGAGAGCAAGCGGACCUCAUAAAGUAUGUCGUAGUCCGGAUUGGAGUCUGCAACUCGACUCCAUGAAGUCGGAAUCGCUAGUAAUCGUAGAUCAGAAUGCUACGGUGAAUACGUUCCCGGGCCUUGUACACACCGCCCGUCACACCAUGGGAGUGGGUUGCAAAAGAAGUAGGUAGCUUAACCUUCGGGAGGGCGCUUACCACUUUGUGAUUCAUGACUGGGGUGAAGUCGUAACAAGGUAACCGUAGGGGAACCUGCGGUUGGAUCACCUCCUUA
RNAcentral lists this ribosomal RNA (1540 nucleotides) under Klebsiella pneumoniae. Its description in RNAcentral is "bacterial SSU rRNA". It matches the Rfam family "Bacterial small subunit ribosomal RNA". Lineage: Bacteria; Pseudomonadati; Pseudomonadota; Gammaproteobacteria; Enterobacterales; Enterobacteriaceae. The record is from RNAcentral.